UACGAAGGGGGCUAGCGUUGCUCGGAAUCACUGGGCGUAAAGCGCACGUAGGCGGAUUGCUAAGUCAGGGGUGAAAUCCUGGAGCUCAACUCCAGAACUGCCUUUGAUACUGGCGACCUUGAGUCCGGGGAGAGGUGAGUGGAACUGCGAGUGUAGAGGUGAAAUUCGUAGAUAUUCGCAAGAACACCAGUGGCGAAGGCGGCUCACUGGCCCGGUACUGACGCUGAGGUGCGAAAGCGUGGGGAGCAAACAGGG
This 255-nucleotide ribosomal RNA is filed under the name uncultured bacterium. RNAcentral describes it as "partial 16S ribosomal RNA". It matches the Rfam family "Bacterial small subunit ribosomal RNA", at positions 524 to 777 of the family's 1533-position model. The record is from RNAcentral.